RNAcentral lists this long non-coding RNA (2633 nucleotides) under Callithrix jacchus (white-tufted-ear marmoset). RNAcentral describes it as "lncRNA (ENSCJAG00000051831.2)". Lineage: Eukaryota; Metazoa; Chordata; Mammalia; Primates; Cebidae. The record is from RNAcentral.
GUAAACAAGAUGACAGAUUAUUCUUCAGAGAAACAUUGGUGCAGUGGAAGAGUUUGGAUGAGAACAAGGUGCUACAAAUCAAUCAGGGAUUUGUUCUGUCGGCCUGUCAGGCACAUUUGGAUUUACUAUUUCACUUGAACAGUUGGUGUUUACUGGCAGCAACAAGAACAAAAUUUAUAGCAGCAAAUGGAAGCUGAACUCGCAUGCUGGCUUUGCACUGAAGAACUUUGUGUCUGCCAUUUCCUAAUUGUGAAAACAGUAUGUCCAAGAUUUUGCAGUCAUCAGCAUUCUGAUGUAACGACUUCCAUCUGGUCAAAGGAAGGAAUUCAGAACCGCUAUCUCCUUUUGAAUUCUACUCCAAUGCAAAGGCAUAUCUAGAGCUCUUCAAAUAAGCAAUGUGAUGUUAGAAAAAGUGCAGAAGCUCCUUCAGCACUUUCCAGGGCUAACCAGCUGCUGAGGAGGGACCUCUAGGAAGGAGAGAAGCACUCUGAUCCAGACAGGGAUUUACACCUAAAGUUCCAACUCCACCAUGUCUUCAGAACAGUUCUUCUGGACCUUGCAUCCAAUUGUGGUAACUAUGAAAUAUUUUAUAGCUCACUUAGUCUCCAGUAUUGUUUUUCAUUAACAAUAUAUUUUUUUAGAGAGAUGAGGUUUAGCCAUGUUGCCCAGGUUGAUCUCAAACUGCUGGCCUCAAGCAGUCCUCCCACCUCAGUCCCCCAAAGUGCUAGAAUUACAGGUGUGAACCACUCCACUCCAAGAUGUAUUUUUAACCAUAAUUGGGGCAAGCAACAUGUUUAAUGGAAAAAAUAGAUAAUUUUUGAAUUUUGUGAUUUGGAAGCUUAUUGCUAACAGUGCUAAAGAAAAGUUAAAAACACUCCAAAGUGUGUCUUUAAGACUGUGAUAUACAUUGAUUGAAGUGAGAAGAUAACCAGUUAACUAAGGUUUCUUUUGUCCUUAUUUCACUCUUGUAUUUGUUAUCCACUGCUGCAUAACAAAUUGCCCCCAAAGUCAGCAGUGCAAAAAAACAUUUAUUAUGUUAGCUUCACAGUAUUCACAGUUUCUGUAGUCAGGAAUCCCAGUAUUUUUCAGCUGGGUGUCUCCGGCUCAGCAGCUUUCAUGAAGCUGCAGUUAAGUAGUCACCUAGGGCUGGGGCUGUGGUCUCCACUGAAGACUCCACAGGGGAAGCCAGCUCUAAGCCCACUUACCUAAUGGUCAGGCCUCAUGGGCAGUUAGACAGUGGGCUCUAUUUCCCACUGGCUGUUGGCUGAAGGCCUCCUUCGGUUUCUUGUCACAUGAACGUCUCCACAGGGCUGACUGUAAACACAACUGGCUUUCUCCAGAGUGAGGGAUGAGAGACAAGGAGAAAGAGGAUACUCAAGAAAGAAGCCAUAGUCUUUUUAUGACUUAAUCUCAGGAGUGACACUGCUUUACUUCUAUUGUUUUCUAUUCUUUGGGAGUGAGUCACUCUGUCCAGCCCACAUUCAAGGUGAGAAGGUUGCAGAAGGAGGCAAGGAUAACUGGAGCCCAUCGUAGACUUACCACAGCCCCCAUUUCCAAAUAUUUUAAUGUGUAAUCCAUGAUAGAGAAUGUCUUGAACUAGUCUCACUGAGAUUCAUCAAUCAUUAGCUACCAGAAGAAAAUCUGAAUUCCUUUGGAAAUGCAUUGUUUCAAACUAGUUCAUCCAGUUUGCAAACACUUGCCCUUAGACAAGGGUUGAUUUAUUCCUCAUCUUUCUAACCCCUCUUUUUCCACUCCCCCCAUAUGCAUAUUUUCCAUUUUAAGCCCAGUCUAUCAGCUUCAUUUAGUUAUCUGGAAGUAACAAAGAAACAAACACAAAAAUAUCUGACAGGCUUUGCCCCAACUAGCUGAAUGGCUUCAGUAAAAUCACUUAACUGUUACGGGUCUUGGUUCCUUCAUCUACUGAAAGAAUGGCUUGAUCCCAAUGACCUCUUAGGCCUCCCACAGCUUUAAAACUCUAUGAGAUUUUGAUUCUGUGUGUGCAAACUAGGGAUGAAAUUAAAUGUGUGGCAAAAAUAAAGACUUGAGAGGUCUAUAGUGAAAGUUAAAUGAAUGAGGCUUGGGAAUUUUAUGAAGCACUUUGUACACUCUAAAGUGCUAUGCACAUGUAAGGAUUUGUUCUUAUUUAGCUCUUAUCAUGAAGAGGUCAGGGCAGAAGGGCGCAGUAGAGACAGUAGUCUUCUUAUUUAGCUAGCCAGGUGUCCCCCAGUGUCACUCUGUUAGGUCCAUACUUUCCAAGUGGAAAAACACCAGGAAGGGAGUCAGCAGGGGAAGUGACCUGUGAGGGAAAUGUUGAACAUAUUUUAGAUUCUCAGUGUGCUGGGUACUCAGGGGGCUUCUGUGACUUCUCUGAGUUACCCUGGAUCUCCACACACACUCUUUGGCCACCCCUCCAUAGCAAGAACUUCUCUCCUGGUGCCCGGUCCUGCAAAUUCUGUCUUCCCUCUACCAGCCACCUUCCAUCCUUUGGCCCCUUCCUUCUGAGAUCCCACUAUUCCUGGAUAGUGACCCCCCCCCCCAUGUAGCUCAUCAAUCAGUGCCAGCUCCAGCUGGUUCCAUAGCACAUUGCUAAAUAUGAGGCCUUUUACAUAUCCUUGAGUAUACACUUUAUGCAC